Molecule: transfer RNA, 87 nt
Filed under: Oscillospiraceae bacterium
Lineage: Bacteria; Bacillati; Bacillota; Clostridia; Eubacteriales; Oscillospiraceae
Description: tRNA-Leu
Rfam family: tRNA
About the family: Transfer RNA (tRNA) molecules are approximately 80 nucleotides in length. Their secondary structure includes four short double-helical elements and three loops (D, anti-codon, and T loops).
Source: RNAcentral
GCACCCAUGGCGGAAUUGGCAGACGCGCAUGGUUCAGGUCCAUGUGAGAGCAAUCUCGUGGAGGUUCAAGUCCUCUUGGGUGCACCA